CCCUUAGAUGUUCUGGGCCGCACGCGCGCUACACUGACGAAGUCAGCGAGCAUGUCCUACGCCGACAGGUGCGGGGAAUCUUGUCAAACUUCGUCGUGAUAGGGAUAGAUUAUUGAAAUUAUUAAUCUUGAACGAGGAAUUCCUAGUAAACGCAGAUCAUCAAUCUGCAUUGAUUACGUCCCUGCCCUUUGUACACACCGCCCGUCGCACCUACCGAUUGGAUGGUCCGGUGAAGCCUCGGGAUUGUGGUUCUUGCCGCUUUAUUGUGGCGUGACCGCGAGAACUUGUCUAAACCUUAUCAUCUAGAGGAAGGUGAAGUCGUAACA
Molecule: ribosomal RNA, 326 nt
Filed under: uncultured eukaryote
Lineage: Eukaryota
Description: partial 18S ribosomal RNA
Rfam family: Eukaryotic small subunit ribosomal RNA
Source: RNAcentral